This is a non-coding RNA of Podarcis lilfordi (Lilford's wall lizard), 136 nucleotides long. The record is from the annotation of a GenBank genome assembly. NCBI's taxonomy places the organism in Eukaryota, Metazoa, Chordata, Lepidosauria, Squamata, Lacertidae.
AGAGCAGGCAUGGCCAAACUUGGCCCUCCAGCUGUUUUUGGACUACAACUCCCAUCAUCCCUAGCUAACAGGUCAUGGAUGAUGGGAACUGUAGUCCCAAAACAGCUGUAGGGCCAAGUUUGGUCAUGCCUGUAGC